RNAcentral lists this ribosomal RNA (253 nucleotides) under uncultured bacterium. Its description in RNAcentral is "partial 16S ribosomal RNA". It matches the Rfam family "Bacterial small subunit ribosomal RNA", at positions 524 to 776 of the family's 1533-position model. The record is from RNAcentral.
GACGGAGGAUGCAAGUGUUAUCCGGAAUCACUGGGCGUAAAGCGUCUGUAGGUGGUUUAAUAAGUCAACUGUUAAAUCUUGAGGCUCAACCUCAAAAUCGCAGUCGAAACUACUAGGCUAGAGUAUAGUAGGGGUAAAGGGAAUUUCCAGUGGAGCGGUGAAAUGCGUAGAGAUUGGAAAGAACACCGAUGGCGAAGGCACUUUACUGGGCUAUUACUAACACUCAGAGACGAAAGCUAGGGUAGCAAAUGGG